RNAcentral lists this long non-coding RNA (239 nucleotides) under Salvia miltiorrhiza (redroot sage). RNAcentral's name for it is "long non-coding RNA (SMIL_LNC009842)". The record is from RNAcentral. Lineage: Eukaryota; Viridiplantae; Streptophyta; Magnoliopsida; Lamiales; Lamiaceae.
UUUCUUUUUUGGCUUGGGUUUUGUAGUUUUUUUCUCUUUUUUGGGUUUUAUUUUUCAGGCCCUCUCCUUGUUUGGGCCUGUGCUCUCAAGGUUUUUACAAACUUCUUUUUUUCAAUAAAAUUUCCAUUUCAGCAGUUAGCAUUCUCUAAUUAAUAAACUAGCAUAAAAGUGAAGUCUGAGCAUGAAUCUAUUUUAAUUCUUUUUUUUAUUUUAAUUUUCUCAAUAUAGUUAUAUAAGUA